UCUCUAAGCAUUAGCUCAAGACAAGAUGGGUCCUAAGCACAAGUUCUUACUAGCCACCAGUCAGCUCAUUUAGAAGAAACUUAAAAAGGAGGCAUAAUGCAUGUGGAAGUAGCAACUGAGUUACUGGGAGAUUCUACUUGUAGAAUGAUGGGCAUGGGUGUCCAAGCUUUUGGCUUGCCUGGGCCACACUGAGAGAAGAGGAAUUGUCUUUGUUGGGAAUUUGUUGCUUCAGAAGUAAUGCCUCCUAUUUAUUUCCAUGUGUUGAACAGACAUCCUUUAUGCUAAGCCUCAGCCUUCUUCCCAUAAGCACCAAAGUCUUCUGCUUCUCCAGAGCAGCAGCUGCCUCUGUACCAGCUGUGAGUCCUCCUCACAGCCCCAUGCAGCUCAGGUCCCUCCUACAGACUCCUCCUGUUGCCCCAGCACAGCAGCUCAGAGGAUGCCGGUCCCUGCCUUUGUUCCUUCCUCUUGCUGAAGAAGAGAUGAGGGGACUUGGUGAGGGAGGGGGUGGAGAUGGGAAGGAUGGGUUCAUGGCAUCCUUGACUGUCAAAAGAAUUCCCAGGAAAUGAACGUCCCAUGUGAGCCCACGGGGUGAUC
This is a long non-coding RNA of Gallus gallus (chicken), 594 nucleotides long. Lineage: Eukaryota; Metazoa; Chordata; Aves; Galliformes; Phasianidae. The record is from Ensembl.